AUCGAAGGUAAAGCGUGGAACUCGUGGGAGACUGCGGUGAUAAACCGGAGGAAGCGGGGAUGACGUCAAGUCCUCAUGGCCCCUACAUCCCGGGCUACACACGUGCUACAAUGGCAGGUACAGAGGGCUGCGAAGCCGCGAGGUGGAGCGAAUCCCAGAAAACCUGUCUCAGUCCGGAUUGAAGUCUGCAACUCGACUUCAUGAAGUUGGAAUCGCUAGUAAUCGCGGAUCAGCAUGCCGCGGUGAAUACGUUCCCGGGCCUU
RNAcentral lists this ribosomal RNA (263 nucleotides) under uncultured Latescibacterota bacterium. RNAcentral's name for it is "uncultured Latescibacteria bacterium partial 16S ribosomal RNA". It matches the Rfam family "Bacterial small subunit ribosomal RNA", at positions 1117 to 1382 of the family's 1533-position model. The record is from RNAcentral. Lineage: Bacteria; Pseudomonadati; Candidatus Latescibacterota.